RNAcentral lists this ribosomal RNA (587 nucleotides) under Hanseniaspora uvarum. RNAcentral describes it as "eukaryotic LSU rRNA". It matches the Rfam family "Eukaryotic large subunit ribosomal RNA", at positions 70 to 670 of the family's 3401-position model. The record is from RNAcentral. Lineage: Eukaryota; Fungi; Ascomycota; Saccharomycetes; Saccharomycodales; Saccharomycodaceae.
GGCUAUGGCACAAAUAGUACGGCGAGUGAGCGGUAAAAGCUCAAAUUUGAAAUCUGGUACUUUCAGUGCCCGAGUUGUAAUUUGUAGAAUUUGUCUUUGAUUAGGUCCUUGUCUAUGUUCCUUGGAACAGGACGUCAUAGAGGGUGAGAAUCCCGUUUGGCGAGGAUACCUUUUCUCUGUAAGACUUUUUCGAAGAGUCGAGUUGUUUGGGAAUGCAGCUCAAAGUGGGUGGUAAAUUCCAUCUAAAGCUAAAUAUUGGCGAGAGACCGAUAGCGAACAAGUACAGUGAUGGAAAGAUGAAAAGAACUUUGAAAAGAGAGUGAAAAAGUACGUGAAAUUGUUGAAAGGGAAGGGCAUUUGAUCAGACAUGGUGUUUUUUGCAUGCACUCGCCUCUCGUGGGCUUGGGCCUCUCAAAAAUUUCACUGGGCCAACAUCAAUUCUGGCAGCAGGAUAAAUCAUUAAGAAUGUAGCUACUUCGGUAGUGUUAUAGCUUUUUGGAAUACUGUUAGCCGGGAUUGAGGACUGCGCUUCGGCAAGGAUGUUGGCAUAAUGGUUAAAUGCCGCCCGUCUUGAAACACGGACCAAA